RNAcentral lists this long non-coding RNA (309 nucleotides) under Cicer arietinum (chickpea). RNAcentral describes it as "long non-coding RNA (CARI_LNC000468)". Lineage: Eukaryota; Viridiplantae; Streptophyta; Magnoliopsida; Fabales; Fabaceae. The record is from RNAcentral.
AAAAAAUAUAUGAAAAAUGAGAAGCACCCCGACACGAUGCUCCAAAACCUGCAACUUAAAAAAGUAUACAAAAAAAAUGCAGACCCUCUUUUCUCUCUUUUGAUUUGUAUGUCACUAUCUUUAUUAUUUUUCUGUUAGGAUUCAAAAACAGAAUGUUAAUAUUGGAAUUUGAUAACCGAAGGCGCACGUUAGUAAACAGUGAUGUACGGUUUCGCGGUGUAAUAAAGGAAGGGAAGACCACAUGAGAGGAUGGUGGUGUGGUGGUGUUGAAGAGCGCGUGAAGGGUUAAAUGAACCACGUGCUCAAGAA